UUGUUUCAAUUGGCAGUAGUGAUCGCCCUCUAGAGAAAAAAAAUUGUAACUUGUUUCAACUGUAACACGAAACUUCUGAGAGGGUUGCAUUUGUGAAUGGAAUCCCUUGUCAUUUAAAGGCCAAAUUUAAAAACGCAUGCCUGACCCAGGACCGAUCUUUCAGCCAUGUAUCAGAAUUUGAAGAGCGACAUGUGAGAUCAUUUUUCCUUAGGCUUGGACUGUUGGACUGAUUUGUUCACUGUUACAUACAUGCAUUUGAUCCUACAAAUGAUCCUACUUGAUGUUCAUUAAAAAUACAAAACAAUAUGUUUUGCAUGUUCAUAUAUUAUUUGAUUUAUUUAAUUGAGGAAAAUAUUAUUGCACUCUAUUCGCAUUCAAUGUGUCCAGCUAUUGCACUGUUUCCCUGCAACCAAGCUAUGGUAAUUAUUGCACAAAUGUUUGUGCUAGUUUUGACUUGGAUCUUCUUAUUAAAUUGACUAGUGCGUCCACGUGUGUGCAUGUAAACAAAGCAAAAACAGCGUGCCACUUCACAAAUCCAUCUUGGCUGCCGUAGCUGAAACAAGUGACUCAAGUAGAAGAACACCGUUGAUCAAACUGGAUAUUGUUUAAUAUAUUUGUUUUUGUCAUUUUUAACAUAGCGAUGCAGUGCACGCUACCGAAGAUGAGGCUGGAGUGGGUUCAGUGUCGGACAGAGGCUCAUAGACACAUUUUUUGAGCAUUUUCAGCAGCUAUAUUUAAAGUAUGUCGGUGCAACUGGAACGUGAGAGCUGGCGUCAGAAGCUGCCCGGUCGAUUAUUGACAAGGGACCGGUGAGUGAGCUGCUGCUGGACCCUGAGGCUGGAGUAGAAUAUUUAUACAGAGUAUUUUAAGAUUCGUUCAUUGUCUUAACAAUAUAAUUUCUAACUUUAAAUUGUAACUAAUUGUCAUUCACACAGAGUCAUCGCGAACAUUGUCAAAACAGUUGUGUUUAUGAAACAGAUCCAUCAACUUUUCGACUUUUUCCAUGUGGCCAUGUGAAUGUUUGUUUAGUAUAGUUUCGCCCGGUGACAUUUCUUCGCUGCACACAGGAAGUGUUUACAUUCUUUGUCACGUGAACGGAAAAGCAGCGAUAUUUUCAUUUUAAAAGUAUGAAGUUGAGGAUAUGUUAGAAUAAAUAAAUAAAAUAAACCCACAUUUGAUUAACUGAUGUCAAGCAUUUUUACUUACGUUAUAUAUGAUCAGAAUUAUAGAAAUUACGAGAUCCCGACAUUAUUGACUUUUACCUCAUGCUUUCAAUCAUGCAGCUGUAUAAUGAUUUUCAGUCCAAUAAAUAAAGAAAUAAACUGGAAAAAAAAAUGUAAACACAUAGUUUACAUUGGAAUUGAACCCAAUGUUAUAAAUAUUUAGGUCAAAAGAAAAUACUAAAGCAGAACAAGUGAUCAAUAAUUGAAUUUAACAGCACAGGUUAUCAGCAACAAUACUGCAAACAAACUGCUCACCUUCUACUUUCAAGUAAAACAAAUAUAUAUAUACACACUUGGCAAUAGGGGGCAGGAGAAAUUGUGAAGAAGAAUUGUGAGGUCACACUGCAGGAACAUGGACUGAGAAGCAGAAGAAGUGAACAGAGGAAACAUUUUUGAAAUAUCCUGCAUAACGGGAGUGCAUGGUGAUAACUACAAGCAUCACUGCAAGUACUUCAACGUGACUACAACCAUGAGCCCAUUCACCAAACUGAAGAAAAGGUCCUAUUAAUGUUUGAUUUGCCCAUGGACGUUUGCCACAAAUAAGGAUCGCCAAAGGCACACGCAGGACCACAAAGGCCUCAGGCAAGUACUUUGUCGUACAUGUGGAAUGUAGUUCCUAUGUGUUCCAAAUACUCUGAAGAGACACUUAAAUGUGAACUCAGAUGACAGACCUUAUAAGUGUGCAGUGUGCCAGCGAGGCUUCAUCCAGAAGGCCGUGUAAAUGUCGGCACUGUGACAAAUGUUUUAAUCACAAUGUGAGCUGAAAGAGUCAGAGCCAGCGUUACCACACAUCCAGAUCCUGGAAUGAACAGAAUAAAGCAAAUGGAAAAGAUCAGAGCGAUGGGAACAAUGGGGCUGUAGAGUUUACCUGUCAGUGUAGAGGAGAAACUGGACACAGAGGGGGAUAAAUAGCAGCAAAGGAGACGCAUGGGUUGGUAGGCCCAAGAGCAACAAAGCUGUUAAAAUAGCUCAAACUUGUGAAAGGACAGAAUCAGGUUUGAACUAUAGUACUCCUUAUGACGAAGGAUAAAAAAAACUGCUGGUUUAAAAACAUUUAUUUUCCCUCAUUUAUUUAUGCCAUAUCAAUACUUGAUUUAUUAAUAAUAUUUAUGCAUUAACAUCACAGGUAUUUCAGAAGCACUUUUCCCGUUGUGGAAUUUUGCUAGUCACAUGGUAAUCACUAGAUGUCCUCCUUGUACUAGAAACACAGCCUGAUUGAGCCAAUUCUUUCCGAGUGGGAUCACAGUCUUCCCUUCUCCAUCACACUCAGUUCCUGAGGUGACUGUCAUUUCUCUGAGCUGCUUUUCGAGUGCCUCUGCUUAUCUUCUCCCUCUCUCCUCCUGUCGUCUCCUCAGGGACACUGUGUUUUCUCCUCAGGGAACACAGUUUCUUAGCACAUUAUCUUUCCUGGUCCUUUUGGAGCGUCUCACUGAUCCCCUGUAGCCCUCAAAGCACUGGAGUACUGACAUUUGUGCUUCAGGUAUACUAUUGUGGGAAAGGAAAACAGUAUGGGGAUCUACCACCUUGGGGCUGAUGCUAUUAAAAUUACCUUAGUGCUGAUUAUUACAAUUAUUAUUUGUUAUUGUUCUUACCUCUCAAAUAUUUCCUUUUUAUCAUCUUCUUCAGCUACUGCCUGAAGGUGUCGCCAUAUAAAUCUUUCUCUUGCCUCCUCUGCUCAUACACCAGCUAUCUUAAUGUCAUUAUUCACUGUCUCUAUUUUCUGGCAGGGGUCUUUAUUUUCUUUCUGCCAUCUGGUCAUUCAUUUAAUUUUUUUUUUUUUUUUUACCUAAAGCUAACAGAUAAAACGUAACCUUAUAGUAUCAACAGAAGGCAGCAUUUGUUUAUCUGAAUGUUUUUGUACAAAUCUUCCAAAAUAAAUCAAGUUGAAAUUAUGUUUUUUUUAAAUCACUCGCAAUAUUUGUAGAAUUUUAAAUGUCUGUUCUCAAUUUUCAAACCCAUUCGAGUGAUGUAGCAGUGAAAUAUCAAAUCUGGACUUUUUCAAUGCGAUUCAACAAUGAAACAUUUUUAUUUUUCUCAGGUGUCCUUUUCCUUGUCCUUGCAGUCUGUUCCAUUUCCAUUCACUGAUUAUUGCCUCAUCUCCCUCUCACAGAGAAAUGUCACGAGGUAUUUAUCAAUCACAGGGCAUUUGUAUUCCGUUAUUUACUGGAGCCCCAGUCUCCUUCCGCCCCCUGUCUGUGCAGAAUUACCCCAUCAACAGUGCAAUCACUAGUCUCCUGCUAUCCUGCCUGGUUGAGCGGCAAGUAUUAGUUUUCUCCCACUGUCACGGAGUGGCAUCGUCAAUCCGAAACAGCAGGGAAUGAGUGGUGUGUCAAGAAUGUCAGCAAGUUUCCUCUCUGGGUUGUGUUAACUCUAAGAUCUUAGUCAGGGAUGAGCAUAAAUUUGAUGGUAGAGGGCCUGUAAAAAUCCAUACUGUUGUCAGAGUUGAAUUUAAAUCAACACGCACUAGCUACACUGGGAUCUUCACAUCGGUUCUGCUGUCAGAUAGUCGACUCUCUUGUGUACACCAGCAGUACAUAUAUCUAAAUAUAUCAUUCCACUGUAAAUGAACAAACUGUACUGAAAAAGCAAAAGUUAAAGCUGAAAUAGAUUUUAUUUGCAGGAAUGGCAACGGUUUGAUGAAAAAAAAAAUCCAUUCCUUGGAGCAUUUGAACCUACCACUGACUUGAUACUCAGCAACAGUGUAUGUGACUGUCAGUUUCUAAAUCUCUGCUCAUCUAUUCACGUCAUUGAGGUUUGCAGAUGUAGUUUCCAUAAACAUUUGUACUUUUUCUGAGCUGAUUGUCCUCUGGACUGCACACUGGUCAGUACAGCACGCGUAAUCUAUGUUAAAAAUUUGUUACCCAAACCACUUCAACAUAAACCUCUCAGAAUGUUGUUAUAACACACAGCUAUACUGUAGCGAGCAGAUUUAGUCAAGUACACCCUGAGUCUACAGGCUACACAUUUAAGGUUCUUAGAUUGCUGAGUAGUCAGUUCUUUCACAUUACCUGUGAAAUAUCAACA
Molecule: long non-coding RNA, 4247 nt
Organism: Cynoglossus semilaevis (tongue sole)
Lineage: Eukaryota; Metazoa; Chordata; Actinopteri; Pleuronectiformes; Cynoglossidae
Exons: 3
Source: RefSeq, a predicted model, not a curated record